RNAcentral lists this ribosomal RNA (431 nucleotides) under uncultured bacterium. RNAcentral describes it as "bacterial SSU rRNA". It matches the Rfam family "Bacterial small subunit ribosomal RNA", at positions 29 to 506 of the family's 1533-position model. The record is from RNAcentral.
ACGAACGCUGGCGGCAUGCCUAACACAUGCAAGUCGAACGAUGCUUUCGGGCAUAGUGGCGCACGGGUGCGUAACGCGUGGGAAUCUGCCUUUCGGUACGGAAUAACUCAGGGAAACUUGUGCUAAUACCGUAUGAUGUCGCGAGACCAAAGAUUUAUCGCCGAAAGAUGAGCCCGCGUAGGAUUAGCUAGUUGGUGGGGUAAAGGCCUACCAAGGCGACGAUCCAUAGCUGGUCUGAGAGGAUGAUCAGCCACAUUGGGACUGAGACACGGCCCAAACUCCUACGGGAGGCAGCAGUGGGGAAUAUUGGACAAUGGGCGCAAGCCUGAUCCAGCCAUGCCGCGUGAGUGAUGAAGGCCCUAGGGUUGUAAAGCUCUUUCACCGGUGAAGAUAAUGACGGUAACCGGAGAAGAAGCCCCGGCUAACUUCGU